This 1530-nucleotide long non-coding RNA is filed under the name Coffea arabica (coffee). RNAcentral describes it as "long non-coding RNA (CARA_LNC004133)". Lineage: Eukaryota; Viridiplantae; Streptophyta; Magnoliopsida; Gentianales; Rubiaceae. The record is from RNAcentral.
UGGGGAGAGGCUUGAAAUUGGCAGAAAUGUAGUUCUUCCAUUUCCUUAGUAGAGGAUAGUUUUAGCUAAUUAGUUCAUCCUUCUUUUAUAUUAGCUAGAUUAGGAUGAAAAUGAAGGAUGAAGAAGGCAAGGAGUGAACUCAUGUGACAAGGGUUACAUUCCUUCCAAACUCUUUAUCUUUUGUACUUGAUUCUAUUGUUGGUUAAUAUAUAAGUCUGAAUUUUAUGUUAUUUAUGUGUUUCUAAAGUUUAUGCCUUGGGUUUGGUUGAACUUUCUAUAAUUGUUAGUGUUUAUUAUUUGGUUAUUUGAUUGCUAUGAUUUGAACAAGUUAUUUGGCACUUUGGCUCUUUAAAUCAUGAUUAAUCUGGUACCAUUAAUUGUGAUUAUCUAAGGUGUUAUUUCCGCAAUGAAAAUUGGAAUUUAACAUUAGUUCAAUAAGUGCUAAACAUAGGGAGUACACUCAUGAAAGUAGAGGUACACCUAUAUGGUUUUUAAUGAUUCAUUUCAUAUAAUUUCACUGAAAAAAUUAACUUGUAGCUAAUUUUAUAACCAUGAGAAUAGGUAUGGAUCAGUUAUAAGUAUAAUUGAUUCACUACGAAAGUAGGAUUCAAAUGCAUAAGGAAAUUACACUAUAACUAGCCUAGAUGUAGUACUCAAUGAUUCAAAUAUAGCACUUGCAUGAGUAGUUAGGGAUACCACAACCUCAGGAGCUUUUAUUUGUUAUUUUGUAUAAUUUCAGUAGGUUAAAUUUGUUAUAACUCAUUGAUAGUCUAAAUAAUAAAGAAACUUUAGUAAUACCGGUAAUUGUUCACUCUUCCCUGUGGAAUCGAUCCGAUAUAUACUCUAAACUACUAGUUGAUUUGUAUACUUACAGUGAACGGGUGUAUUUCGGUUUUUUAACUUGUAUGUAUAUGUAAAAUACCCGUCAGCAUCAUCUCUGAAUUCUUUAUGGUAAAGGAGUAUUGAUCCACGCUUUGACUCGAAAUCUUUGAUAUGCAGUUUUCCCUCCUGCAAUUUAGCUUUGUCACCAUGGUAAAGGAGAAUGGAUUCGGGCUUUGAUUCAAAAUCCUUUAUGAGUGGUUUCUCUUCCUCACCGCUGUGGUAAGGGAGUAUGGAUUCAGGCUUUGACUCAAAAUCCUCCAUAAGCGGUUUCUCUUCCUUGUUGCUAUGGUAAAGGAGUAUGGAUUCAGGCUUUGACUCGAAAUCAUUCACUGGUGGUUUCUCCUCAUCGCUGCAGUAAAGGAUAAUGGAUUCAUGUUUUGACUGAAAUUCUUUCAUCUGUGGUUUCUCCUCCUUCAACUUAGCUUUGUCACCAUGGUAAAGGAGAAUGGAUUCAAGCUUUGACUCGAAAUCAUUUACAAGCGGUUUCUUCUCAUUGCUAUGUUAAAAGAAAAAGGAUUCAGGUUUUGACUCAAAAUCCUUCAUCUGUUGUUUCUCUUCCUUCAACUUAGCUAUGUCACUAUGGUAAAGGAGAAUGGAUUCAGGCUUUGACUCGAAAUCCUUCAUUUGUGGAUUCUCUUCCUUCGAGUU